UGAAUAUAUUUGAUGACACUUGAAAUUUUGCUCUCUCCUCACCCAGCUUUGCCUCCAUAUUUCACUCGCCUCUCUCUUCUGCCUAGCUAUCACUCAUGAUGUGAUAUGCAUAUAUGUGGACUUGGAUCGAUAUUAUAUUUCAACGUGUUUUUAUAAUUUUUACAAGAGUUAAAGUGUACACCUUCAAUGAGUUGUUGAGAGUUGUGAUGCUAAGUCCGUAUUUGUCACUUCAAUUCAUUUCAUUCUUGCUUUACAUUUCUUCUCAACUUCAUGACUUGGAUGCUCAUUCAUUCAUGCCAUGUUCUUUUUUUUCGGUGCGCACAAUACAUGACAAACUUAUACUUAACCUUACCUUACCUUACCUUACCUAAGCUUUUCCUUAAUGGAUGUGACUUUCACCGUUUGUGAGUGUACAUCUUUUACAUGUAUUCAUACCAUCUUUGAUGUGUGCAUAUUUCUUAACAAAAUGCAGUUUAAAAAUACAAUUCUUCAGGUUCUUUUACCUUUCUGCAAAUUGUUUUAUGAAUCACAGCAUUCCUUUUGUUGGUGAUGUGAA
This 556-nucleotide unclassified non-coding RNA is filed under the name Hevea brasiliensis (rubber tree). The record is from RNAcentral. Lineage: Eukaryota; Viridiplantae; Streptophyta; Magnoliopsida; Malpighiales; Euphorbiaceae.